This 668-nucleotide ribosomal RNA is filed under the name Thermomonas sp. Z1-YC6840. Its description in RNAcentral is "bacterial SSU rRNA". It matches the Rfam family "Bacterial small subunit ribosomal RNA", at positions 96 to 758 of the family's 1533-position model. The record is from RNAcentral. Lineage: Bacteria; Pseudomonadati; Pseudomonadota; Gammaproteobacteria; Lysobacterales; Lysobacteraceae.
UGGCGGACGGGUGAGGAAUACAUGGGAAUCUGCCCUGUCGUGGGGGAUAACGUAGGGAAACUUACGCUAAUACCGCAUACGACCGGAAGGUGAAAGCGGCGGACUCGCAAGAGCGUCGCGCGACUGGAUGAGCCCAUGUCGGAUUAGCUAGUUGGCGGGGUAAAGGCCCACCAAGGCGACGAUCCGUAGCUGGUCUGAGAGGAUGAUCAGCCACACUGGAACUGAGACACGGUCCAGACUCCUACGGGAGGCAGCAGUGGGGAAUAUUGGACAAUGGGCGCAAGCCUGAUCCAGCCAUGCCGCGUGAGUGAAGAAGGCCUUCGGGUUGUAAAGCUCUUUUGUCCGGAAAGAAAAGCGCUCGGUUAAUACCCGGGUGUUAUGACGGUACCGGAAGAAUAAGCACCGGCUAACUUCGUGCCAGCAGCCGCGGUAAUACGAAGGGUGCAAGCGUUACUCGGAAUUACUGGGCGUAAAGCGUGCGUAGGUGGUUCGUUAAGUCUGAUGUGAAAGCCCUGGGCUCAACCUGGGAAUGGCAUUGGAAACUGGCGACCUAAAGUGCGGUAGAGGGUAGUGGAAUUCCCGGUGUAGCAGUGAAAUGCGUAGAGAUCGGGAGGAACAUCCGUGGCGAAGGCGACUACCUGGACCAGCACUGACACUGAGGCACGAAA